UAAUACCUUCUUAUCCCUGCCCUCUCCCUCUUUUCGCACUUUCGCCCAACUCCCCCGAACUCAGCGCUCUUUCUCGCUCUCUCAUUCGCGCUCUCUGUCUCUGUCUCUCUCGUUCAUUUUCUCCAUAGAAAUCGAACUGAGCUCUCUCUCCGCUGGGUUUCUCUCUCUCAUAUCAGUUAACGGCUUGUGUCUAAUUGAGCAAAUACCUUCAUCAAUUGAACAUCUAGUUGGCCUUGGUGAAUUGCGUAUAAAUUGUUGCAAAAGUCUCUUGGGUCUACCGAGUGUGAUAUGCAAUUUGAAGUCUCUUAAAAUCCUCUGGGGGCUAAGUUGCUCAAAACUUGACAAACUGCCAGGGGACAUGGAGUCUUUAGAGGAACUUUAUUAAGACGGAAGUGCUAUGAGAGAGCUGCCGCUUGUUAUGAAAUAGCUCAAACGUCUAAGCUUUGCUAAAUCAUCAACUUCAAGGGAUGGCAUUGGUAUUGGAAUUGGGUGGGGCCUUGACUGUUUAUUUGAUAGUUUGCAGGAUGUGCUGUAAUUUUAUGUCCUCUAUUUAAACUGCUCUGUCAGAUUUUAUUGUUUUCAGAAUGAAAUGAACCUAGUCACCUAGUGCUAUUCUAUAAACAGAUAACUCCGGAUAAUGUACUGAAAACAGACAAGUAAGCUUCUGUAUGCCAUGAAAAUGCACACUCUAAAUCAACAUGUUUGGUAAC
Prunus avium (sweet cherry) is the source of this 710-nucleotide long non-coding RNA. RefSeq lists it as uncharacterized. The record is from RefSeq and is a predicted model, not a curated record. NCBI's taxonomy places the organism in Eukaryota, Viridiplantae, Streptophyta, Magnoliopsida, Rosales, Rosaceae.